AUAGGGGAGCCGUAGGGAAACCGAGUCUUAAUUGGGCGUUAAGUUGCAGGGUAUAGACCCGAAACCCGGUGAUCUAGCCAUGGGCAGGUUGAAGGUUGGGUAACACUAACUGGAGGACCGAACCGACUAAUGUUGAAAAAUUAGCGGAUGACCUGUGGCUGGGGGUGAAAGGCCAAUCAAACCGGGAGAUAGCUGGUUCUCCCCGAAAGCUAUUUAGGUAGCGCCUCGUGAAUUCAUCUCCGGGGGUAGAGCACUGUUUCGGCUAGGGGGCCAUCCCGGCUUACCAACCCGAUGCAAACUGCGAAUACCGGAGAAUGUUAUCACGGGAGACACACGGCGGGUGCUAACGUCCGUCGUGAAGAGGGAAACAACCCAGACCGCCAGCUAAGGUCCCAAAGUCAUGGUUAAGUGGGAAACGAUGUGGGAAGGCCCAGACAGCCAGGAUGUUGGCUUAGAAGCAGCCAUCAUUUAAAGAAAGCGUAAUAGCUCACUGGUCGAGUCGGCCUGCGCGGAAGAUGUAACGGGGCUAAACCAUGCACCGAAGCUGCGGCAGCGA
Molecule: ribosomal RNA, 556 nt
Filed under: Salmonella enterica subsp. enterica serovar Cerro
Lineage: Bacteria; Pseudomonadati; Pseudomonadota; Gammaproteobacteria; Enterobacterales; Enterobacteriaceae
Description: bacterial LSU rRNA
Rfam family: Bacterial large subunit ribosomal RNA
Source: RNAcentral